Molecule: ribosomal RNA, 484 nt
Filed under: uncultured bacterium
Lineage: Bacteria
Description: partial 16S ribosomal RNA
Rfam family: Bacterial small subunit ribosomal RNA
Source: RNAcentral
AUUGAACGCUGGCGGCAGGCCUAACACAUGCAAGUCGAGCGGAUGAAGGGAGCUUGCUCCUGAAUUCAGCGGCGGACGGGUGAGUAAUGCCUAGGAAUCUGCCUGGUAGUGGGGGAUAACGUCCGGAAACGGGCGCUAAUACCGCAUACGUCCUGAGGGAGAAAGUGGGGGAUCUUCGGACCUCACGCUAUCAGAUGAGCCUAGGUCGGUUUAGCUAGUUGGUGGGGUAAAGGCCUACCAAGGCGACGAUCCGUAACUGGUCUGAGAGGAUGAUCAGUCACACUGGAACUGAGACACGGUCCAGACUCCUACGGGAGGCAGCAGUGGGGAAUAUUGGACAAUGGGCGAAAGCCUGAUCCAGCCAUGCCGCGUGUGUGAAGAAGGUCUUCGGAUUGUAAAGCACUUUAAGUUGGGAGGAAGGGCAGUAAGUUAAUACCUUGCUGUUUUGACGUUACCAACAGAAUAAGCACCGGCUAACUUCGUG